This 440-nucleotide ribosomal RNA is filed under the name uncultured bacterium. RNAcentral's name for it is "partial 16S ribosomal RNA". It matches the Rfam family "Bacterial small subunit ribosomal RNA", at positions 338 to 795 of the family's 1533-position model. The record is from RNAcentral.
CCUACGGGAGGCAGCAGUCGAGAAUCAUUCACAAUGGGGGAAACCCUGAUGGUGCGACGCCGCGUGGGUGAAGAAGCGCCUCGGCGCGUAAAGCCCUGUCAGCAGGGAAGAAAAUGACGGUACCUGAAGAAGAAGCCUCGGCUAACUACGUGCCAGCAGCCGCGGUAAUACGUAGGGGGCAAGCGUUAUCCGGAUUUACUGGGUGUAAAGGGGUCGCAGACGGCGAUGCAAGCUAGGAGUGAAAGCCCGGGGCCAAACCCCGAGACUGCUCUUGGAACUGCGUGGCUAGAGUGCAGGAGGGGCAGGCGGAAUUCCUGGUGUAGCGGUGAAAUGCGUAGAUAUCAGAAGGAACACCGGUGGCGAAGGCGGCCUGCUGGACUGCAACUGACGUUGAGGCCCGAAAGCGUAGGGAGCAAACAGGAUUAGAUACCCCAGUAGUC